This 131-nucleotide ribosomal RNA is filed under the name Pogona vitticeps (central bearded dragon). The record is from RNAcentral. Lineage: Eukaryota; Metazoa; Chordata; Lepidosauria; Squamata; Agamidae.
GGAACUAUGCCUCUUCCAUCAUCCCUUCCUCCUCACCCUGAGCAUGCCAGAUCCUACCUGAUUUGAGAAGCUAAGCACAGUCCAGCCCGGUUAGUACCCAGAUGGGAGACCCCAAGAGAAAACGAGGAUCC